RNAcentral lists this ribosomal RNA (521 nucleotides) under uncultured bacterium. Its description in RNAcentral is "bacterial SSU rRNA". It matches the Rfam family "Bacterial small subunit ribosomal RNA", at positions 988 to 1509 of the family's 1533-position model. The record is from RNAcentral.
CCAGAGAACUUUCCAGAGAUGGAUUGGUGCCUUCGGGAACUCUGAGACAGGUGCUGCAUGGCUGUCGUCAGCUCGUGUUGUGAAAUGUUGGGUUAAGUCCCGCAACGAGCGCAACCCUUAUCCUUUGUUGCCAGCGGUCCGGCCGGGAACUCAAAGGAGACUGCCAGUGAUAAACUGGAGGAAGGUGGGGAUGACGUCAAGUCAUCAUGGCCCUUACGAGUAGGGCUACACACGUGCUACAAUGGCGCAUACAAAGAGAAGCGACCUCGCGAGAGCAAGCGGACCUCAUAAAGUGCGUCGUAGUCCGGACUGGAGUCUGCAACUCGACUCCAUGAAGUCGGAAUCGCUAGUAAUCGUAGAUCAGAAUGCUACGGUGAAUACGUUCCCGGGCCUUGUACACACCGCCCGUCACACCAUGGGAGUGGGUUGCAAAAGAAGUAGGUAGCUUAACCUUCGGGAGGGCGCUUACCACUUUGUGAUUCAUGACUGGGGUGAAGUCGUAACAAGGUAAGCGUAGUGCU